AUAUUUGCGGCCAAUUAAGGUUGCAGGGGCGCAUCAUGCCACUGCAUUAAAAGGGAAUUUGGAUAAAUACCAAAGCUGUUCCCGCAACUGUAAGCUACAACGCCUGUUGUUAUCUGCAAACCACUGUGUACACUAUGUGCAUGGGAAGGUAAACAACCAAGGACGCAAGCCAGGAGACCUGCCUUAACUGUAACAAAAUA
Molecule: non-coding RNA, 200 nt
Filed under: Flavobacterium rivuli
Lineage: Bacteria; Pseudomonadati; Bacteroidota; Flavobacteriia; Flavobacteriales; Flavobacteriaceae
Also listed under: 1 other name
Source: RNAcentral